GUUGGCUAUGGUGACGUGGCCCCUAAAACGUAUCCUGGCAUGUUUGUGGGAGCCCUUUGUGCUUUGGCCGGUGUACUGACAAUCGCUUUACCCGUACCUGUUAUUGUAAGCAAU
Glossina palpalis gambiensis is the source of this 114-nucleotide non-coding RNA. NCBI's taxonomy places the organism in Eukaryota, Metazoa, Arthropoda, Insecta, Diptera, Glossinidae. The record is from Rfam.